CGCAUGGUAACUACUGUCGGUAAAGACAGACAAUUCCAAUGGUGAGCAUGUACUCAGCCGUUAAGGGCUUAAAACAUUCCUUUUUUUUUUUUUCUUUUUUUUUUUUCUCAUCAUGUCUACACUGGAUUUUCUCACUCAGCUAUUGUAUACGUACUGCUUCAUCCUUAUGUCUGUAUACCUCCAUACUAGAACUGCUUAACUGCCUUCAGCUGAAAGACAUUCUGGAUUAUAUCCAAGGACCAUCUUGAAGUUCACUGGUGUCCAGAACUGCCCCCAUUUUUGGAGAACCACUGGAGUCUAUCAGAAUUGCAAUGGAUAUGAAUUUCGUAAGUGGCUGAACUCUAAAUGCACAUGCUGUCACAAACAGGCAAAAAGAGCUAAGAAUAAAAGAGCUGCAUGAACCUUCAUCCUUUUCAUCAACAAACUUUUAUCUUUGCAAACAACUUGAAUGGUCUUGUGGCAAAAUGGAGCCUUGGGAAGCUUGUAAAUGAAAAAGAAAAUCCUGUUGGGUUAUAAGGUUGGUUAUUCCCUGUCAAGCCUGAGUGAAUUCCAUGGAGAAUGAAAAUCAAACUUGCAAGUAAAAGUGAUGGACUGAAUGAUUUGGGGGCCCCCUGCAACCUGCAUUGCUUACAAACAUUAUUAUGCAUAUUUGAACUUUACAGUUGUUGUCUAGUUGAAAUAUGUAUUAGCUAUUUUGUGUACAGCUAAUGUCAGAAGAAUUGUCAAGCCUAUAAUGAAAAAAUAUGAGUAAUUCCUUGAAAUAGAAUCAACUUCUACAUAGAACACAUCUCAGAAUAGAGCCCUAACAUUUUUCCUAUGAAAAUUCACUGCUAGCGUGUUAGCUUUCUACAGUUAAGUUCCAAAGUUGAAUAUGAGGAAAUAUGUUUAGCUUUUUAAAUCUUCUGAUUUCUGUAAAUUAUUAGUCCAUAGAAUUACUUUUGUUUUGUGUACCCAUUUCAAGGAAAAUUAAAUUGCUAGUUCAAUACUUGAAAUCUAACAAUAUCUGGAAAAAAUAUUUUUGUAGUCUACUCUCAGAAUGCAUGGAACAGCAUAUCUGCAACAAUUUUUAAGAUAGCAGAAAUGGAAGUUUCCAAAUAAGAAGGUUAUUUUAUAGUUAUGAAUGCAAAAAUACAUACAUCGUAUUAAUUGCUUAGUCCUUUGCUUUGAUACAAAUUACUUGAAAAUUGUGGUUUAGAACAUUUUUUAGCAAUUUUUAAACAAACGAGGUGGGAAAUUGUCCCCCUGAGGCUUCAUUAAGGCUUUUAAAAUGCUUACAACAGUAAGUCUAGAUGAAAUCAAUAUAUUUAUAUUACUUCACUCAAUGGUUUAUUGUUCUCUAUCAUUUAAACAAUGAAAUACAGUUAAUAAAUUGUUAGAUCAUUUAUAUAUUAUUUUUUUUAAAUUGAAAAUAUUUCGGCAUAUUUUAACAUGCCAUUUUUUGAAGUAACUAAACUCUAACGUAUAACAUUAAUAAACGGUGAUAGACUUUACUAUAAAUAUUGCCUCUGUUGCCAAGUAGAGUUACAUACAAAGCAGAACAUUACAAACAUCAGUUCACUCAUUCUAUUGAUAAUGAAAACAUGGGCCUUUUGUAUUACUUUUUGUGUAUGUUUCAAACCCAAUGUUCUAUUGUAAUAGAUACAAAGCAACGUUAAAAUAGUAAUGCCUUUGUUUUGAGUGUGUUUUUUAAUACCAACAGAUUGUUGGUGGUAGGGUUUUCCACUGUUUUAGAUUUGCUGACGUAAAUCUUGCAAUCUUCAGUACAGUAUUAUUUUAUAGGUAGAAAUUCUUAGUAAAUAAAAACAAACACCUUGUUAACAGGUUGAAAUGGCAUUUAAAAUGUCUCUAGUGCCUCACUCAAAAACUUUUGGUACAAAUGGAAAUUCUCUCACUGAUGUCUGCUUUCAUUCAAUUACACUUACUAAAAAAGCCAUUUCUCAGAGGGAUUGAUUCAAAAAGGUGGUGAAAGUAUAACCUCAGAUGCCCCAUUUCUGUAGCAAGGCCUAGAAACAUUUGGUGAAAUCACAGCACCAGUGAGAUUUGUAUGAACCUGAGUCCAGUAUAUGUACAUCAGACAAGUUCCACUGGAUUAAAACUCUCAGAACAGAUGAAUAAGAAAUGACAACUUUGCUGGUCUUGUUAAGCAUGGUGUAGGUUCCAGUUUAUGAAACAGAGAUGCAGGUAGAAAGGAAAUGUAUGGUCAGAACUGAAGCACCUCUGAAAUCCAAAUUCCUUUACUACAUGGCAUUUCAACAGGAAUUAAAUAUUCAAAUUCUCCUAAUGUGUGUCACUAAAGGGAAUUCAUCAUGAAAGGAAAAGUAUACAUCUGUGAAUUUAAAAUAAAUGGGUGUAACAAAAUGGUAACCAUAAGACAGCAACCAGGCUUUCUUCACUUGUUCUCACUGCAUUUCAUUCAUAGUGACUGUUGGCAGCACUCAGUGUGUGGGGUUUAUAUAUGUAUUUAUAGAUAUGUACAUAUUGCUUAUAUAGGAACCAUAGACACUUGAAAAUAAUUUUUUUCUCAAAUCAUUCUACAAAGGCCAACUUGUCCCCUUUAAAGCUGCAGCUCAUAAACUAGAGACAUCAGAACUGGAUAUGUCUCCAGAUUUGUCUAAAAGUGCUUUAUAAUAGAGAGAAUCUUGUCUUCUAAGGGACUUAAUUACCCCCCUUCCCCCCCCGAAAAAAAUAUCCUUCUGCUCUAGCAUUACCCAGACAAUGCUGCAAAGCCUAUAGUCGGUCAAAGUUGAAGCUCUAAGUCUAAAACAACUCAUUCUUUUAGAAGUAAAGCUCUUUGGCUCACACUAGUUUUGCAACUUGUGUUAUCAUAAUAGUAUAAGAAAUUGUAAUAAUAUAAGAAAAAGAAGAAUUGUUUUGAGCAAUUUAAGCCUUCUUAAGAACUGGAUUAUGAAUGAUUAAAAUCGGAAGAUUAAAUUGAACCUCUACAUUUCUCACACCGUAUCAUUUUAGAUACUUCUGUGUCUGUUGAACUAGACUGACAACAAAAUGACACAAAAAUCCGAUUUAAGUGUCAGUCAAUGAAAUGCAAUUAAUUUGGUGUUAAGAUGGAACAUUAGUACAUUUUGUAGAAGAGGUUAGAACAUUUUCUCUAGCAUUGUGACACUUACUACGUCUAUCUCAGUAACUACCACAGGCUUUCUAAAGAAACAUUUACAUUUUAAAACAAAAAAUCCACUGAAAAUCCACACAAAUUGAAAAAUGAAUAGGUCUUUUUAUACUAAACUGUCACCAGCCAUUUGGAUACUGAUUAAAAAAAAAAAGAAGAAGAAAAAAAACAACAACAACAACAAAAAAACACCCUUACUGCAGCUUCUGUGAACUAGGAGGUUCUAUAAAUGUUGUGUUUGAUUCUGGACACAGAAACUGGAGAUAAUCAAGAAUAAAUAAUAUUUGACAUAGAACCUGUGAAAAUAAAAUCAGAACUAAGCCACGGGGAUUUCAAGAUGACUGAGCAUGACUUUUCAUUAACAGUGUCAUAACUGCAUUUUAACAGAAGAAAAUAAUAAGUUAAAUAUAACUAUAUAACUAUAGUAAGCAUUUAGAGGAAUACAUUUAGAGGAAUAACCAAGGUGGUAAGGUGGCAGUGGGUGACAAAAAAGCUGUUUUUUUAUUCCUUUUCUGUCACAGACUUCAACUACAAAUUCUAGCCCAUGAUAUGUUAGAUAUUGCAUAAGAAAAAUGUUGGGCAGAUGAACUGACUGGUACCUACCAGCAUACAGAAAAUUCUAACUAGAAUACAGGUGUUUGUGCUUAAACUUGCCAGU
Long non-coding RNA from Oxyura jamaicensis (ruddy duck), 3782 nucleotides. RefSeq lists it as uncharacterized. The transcript has 4 exons. NCBI's taxonomy places the organism in Eukaryota, Metazoa, Chordata, Aves, Anseriformes, Anatidae. The record is from RefSeq and is a predicted model, not a curated record.